ACUGACAAAUUGCCUUCCAAAGUGACUGUACCAUUUCACAUUACCACCAGCAAUGAAUAAGAGCUCCUUCAUUUCACAUCCUCAUCAUCAGUAGCGUUAUCAGUGUUUUGGAUUUUGGAUGUUCUAAAAGAUCUCCUUCCUCUACCUUUAGUUUGCUGCUUCUAAUCUAAUGGACUUGGGAGAAGCCACUUACGAGAAUGGUAGGAGCCUCGCCUCUGUCUGGCACAGGGUAAGUACUCAAUAAAUAUUUGUGAAAUGAAUGAUUUUUUUAAAAAGUUCCUCUUUUUCCAAGUUCCUGUUCCAUGACUCCAUAAUUAAGCAUCUAUCAUAUGAUAGGCACACUAUAAAAGCCUGUUCAAUGCACCCUCUUUCAGCAUGAUGGAGUGGCAAGAUAAGGGACUUUGAAGGUGAUCUUAUUUGGGGUUAAAGGUAUGGACUUGCAAAGGGUCCUUAACCUCUCUAAACUCCAAUUUAAUCACACAUAGAUUAUUUUUCUAAUCUCAAAGGACUGUUAGAACUACUUUAGAAUAAAUAAAACAGUUACACGUAACAUCUGACCCAGAAUAUAAGUUCAAUAUAUUUUAGUUGUUUUCUUUUAUUGCUUCACUUCCAUUUUUAGCCACCUUUUCUCUAUUAUUAUGUCCAUGCAAAACAAAAAAAGAUGAAGCAAAGUAGCAAUAAUACAUCAAAGCCCACAAUAGAAUUGGAAAACGCUGUGUGUGUGCCUUAUGUGUGAUUCACCCUGUGAGUUCUAGGGGCCAGAUAAGAUCUGGUUAUGUUAUGCAUGAUUAUAUUGAAUUUUUCGUAGACUUUGAACCUUAGGAAUUAAAAACAUAUCUUCUAUUUUGUGAUAUUUUUGUAGUCUACAUUGUCAUUUGUUUGAAGAUUCAUUAAUAUUGACUAAUAAUGAUGUCAGUUCUCUUAGCAGUGUAAAAUACAAUGACAUCACUGAAAUUCAUGUAGAAGAAAUUGUUUUUGUUUCAUGACUUAAUCUAUCUCUUCUAAGAGCUGUUCGUUGACAAAUUAUUUUCAUUAUGUGAAUGUUAGCUGGUGGGAGGGGGAGGAUGGAGCUGAGGGCUAAUGGGAGAGAAUAAAAUGGUCUAAGUAUUUACAAAUGAGAUCUCUCUAGAGAAGUAGAUUUUAUCAGUUAAUACAGCUAAAAAAUAAAUAAAUAAAUAAAAGCUAAUGCUUCCUUCCUGUCUUCUCAUUCUGGGUGUACAUGGAACAGAAUCAGUUGGAGAUCCCACUACCUGCACAGGUUGUGAGCCCUGGGCAACCAUUACUGACAGGAAUUUGUUGUGUUCCUCAUGAUAAAAAAAAAAAAUGCUUGAAAAUGUCAAUGUGUGUGUUUUCAUGGCUUAGAACAAUGCUUGAGAAUAUCUUUGUCUCUGUUUUCAUGGCUUAUGAAUAUAAAAAUGGUAAGUUUUCACUCAAAUCAUUUGGUCAGCAGUCACAAAUUCAGAUAUAAUGUCAUCUACCUUCACUCUUGUUCAUUCUUUAACUGACUCUUGAUUGUCAAUCUUGUACCCUGGGUUAGUGAGUCUAGUCCUGCUGGUAAUUGUUAUGGUGCUGAUUCCUGGGAAUUUGGAUUGGAGAUGAAGGGAGGGAGAACUAAAUAGAGGCAACUAUCCAUUAUGAAUAUAAACAUUACUGUGAUUUCUUAUAAUGUAUUUUUCUCUUACCCUGUAUUAGAAUCUGUAAAACCAAGGUUCCACAUUCAGAACUCUAACUGCUCUGGCUUAUUUGAGAAGUCUUUGUCAAUGUAGGCCUCUUUACUAUUAUAGUUUUGGGCAGAAACCUUUGCAAGAGCCACUGAAUUAAUGAGAUAGUACUUUGAGGAAAAAUCGGAAAGAAUUUAUUGAAUCCCUGAGUAGAAGGAUUCUGUAGCAGAGGUUCUUAUCAGUCUCUCAACAGAGGCUGGGCUGUAAUAAAAUUUUUACUGGUUUGCUGCAAAUGAGAAAAGCACAAAUAACAACUGUAAGUUUUCCAUGAGACUAAAAUAUUUCAAUUCGAAUUGCUUUCUUUGUUCUCAAAUUAUAAAUUUCUUGUCUUUUUGCUCGGAGAGGAUUAUUUCUUUUAUGAGACAAUGGUAAAUAAUAGUAAAAAUGAAUGGGAGUCUUUUAAAAUGUUAUUAAUGUCAUUAAUUGGCAAAAUAUCAUUUUAGUCCCCCUACAUUAAAAAAUUAUGAUCUGUAAAAAAAUUAGGAAAACACUUCACUAGGGAUAAUCUAUUAUAAUGAUUUAAAAAAUAUAGUGAAUAACCCCUCCAUUUUUCCCACAAAAUGAAAGUUUAUAUGGAAACUUAUGUGCAAAGUAAAAUUUCUCUGGUUGGAACAAGAUGGGGGAGGCUACUGAUCUUCUCCUCAGCUCCUGAGAUAACCCUUUCAUAGAAUCCUUGGGCUCCCUCAAACAUAGUUUUAGAAGGAUUGGUUUGGAUGACAGUUUUUCAACCUUGACACUCUUGCUGUUUUUGGCUGCAAAGCUGGAAAGUUCUUUGUUGUGGGGACUAUCCUGUGCAUUGUAGUUUGAUUAGCAACAUUGCAUGUCUCUCUAAUGCAAGGAGCACUCACCUCUUCUAAUUAUGAAAAACAAAAAUGUCAGUAGCACCCACCUCUUCUAAUCGUGAAGAAACGAAAACGUCUCCAGAUACUGCUGAAUGUCCCCUGUGUGUGGGUGCAGGGGUCAAAAUUGCCCCCAGUUGAGAACUACUGUUCUAGGCAACAUAUGAACCCAUACAGUGCAGAUAUGAAGAGAUGAGCUAAGUAGUAUUGUGAUGCUUUUUGCUUUUCUAAAAAAAAUCUGUUAUUCCACCAUAUUUCCUCUGUUCAAACUAUGUUUGGACUCUAUGUGCCAAGGAAAUUGAAGUCACAGCUGAAAUGCAAAGAAAAACAAAAUAAGGUAAUGCUCAGCUUCUGAUCUCCCAAGAUCUAGAGCCUAGAUUAAACAAUAAAUUUGGAAGAAUACAUAGCUAUCCUGUUUUACCUGGCACAGUGAGUGAAUAUAAAACCUUCUAGGCUAGAAGAGACAGGCUAGAGAUUUUAGAAAGGAAGUAAGAGUAUUAGAUGAGGUGUGAAAGUUCUGUGUGUAUGGUGAGGGGGGCAGAAUAGAAUUUUUUUUAGAGUUGAGGAUCUAAGAUUAGAAAGCAGUCUUCCUCUCCCUGUGGAUGAAGCCGUAAAAAGCAGAGAACUCCCAAGCAACCCUGGGAUGGGCACCAGAGAAUGGAAAUGCCAUUGUGGUCUGUCUAGGUGUAAGAAGACCAAAGAAAAACUGUCAUGUUUCCUGCAGCCACAAAGAGGGACUGGAGAACAUACAAAAGUUCUUGUGCCUUAUUCCCUGCACCUUGCUCUGUGUGAAGGAAAAUGAGCUAUGAAACAUGUCAAGGGGCAUGUAGAGGUUUUGUCCUUGCAGGGGAUGCCACAUUGAAGACUACAGAGUGGAACAACCCUCUAAGGACUGAAUGAUACUCUAGUUACACUUCAACCAGUGCUGGCAUAGAAGACGACAUGUCUGCAGACCAGAGAGGACCUGAUACAUCUGAUAUGAUUCCAUAACAGGAGAGAUACUGAUCAAGAUUGUGAAGAACAUACAUCCAUCACCAAUGCCUCAGUUCCUUACUGUAAGCCCUAGAAUUGAAGAGUGAUAGGUGAAUCUCGAAUGUCAUGGAGCCUAAAUCUGAAAUGUCUAAGGGAAAUCAUAAUCAGGAAGGCAGCUGAAUUUACCACCAUGUAAUUGUAUCAUAUUUUCUGCACUGUGCUGAAUGGAGUUUGAGAUGGACAUCUAUUCCUCUUCAUCUCCACUUUGCAUGUUCCCCAUAAUAUUGCCAGUAGAAUGAUCUAACAAGUAAAAUACCUUCAUUCAAGCAAAAAGACAAAAUACUAAAAAA
Molecule: long non-coding RNA, 3882 nt
Organism: Pongo pygmaeus (Bornean orangutan)
Lineage: Eukaryota; Metazoa; Chordata; Mammalia; Primates; Hominidae
Exons: 3
Source: RefSeq, a predicted model, not a curated record